GGCCUGUCACCCUCCGGACCAAUACCUUGAAAACUCGACGCCGAGACCUUGCGCAGGCUCUAAUCAAUCGUGGGGUUAACCUGGAUCCCCUGGGCAAGUGGUCAAAGACUGGACUAGUGGUGUAUGAUUCUUCUGUGCCCAUUGGUAAGUCUCCCCCACCCAAGAGCCCUUCUACCUCUGUCCCUGUCCCUACCGCAUGUCACAGGGUGGUCCUCCUCCGCAGGUGCUACCCCCGAGUACCUGGCUGGGCACUACAUGCUGCAGGGAGCCUCCAGCAUGUUGCCCGUCAUGGCCUUGGCACCCCAGGAACAUGAGCGGAUCCUGGACAUGUGUUGUGCCCCUGGAGGAAAGACCAGCUACAUGGCCCAGCUGAUGAAGAACACAGGUGUGAUCCUUGCCAAUGACGCCAAUGCUGAGCGGCUCAAGAGUGUUGUGGGCAACUUGCAUCGGCUGGGAGUCACCAACACCGUUAUCAGCCACUAUGAUGGGCGCCAGUUCCCCAAGGUGGUGGGGGGCUUUGACCGAGUACUGCUGGAUGCUCCCUGCAGUGGCACUGGGGUCAUCUCCAAGGAUCCAGCCGUGAAGACCAACAAGGUGAGGAGUCAGGUGGUGGGCCCCUGAGAGGCCUUGGCUGGGUCUUGUAGAGCUGGAAAGUGAGAUGGGGACACCCUCUGGGCUCCCCUCUCCUCCUCAGGCUGCCUUUGGGUCUCUUUUUGGGACAGGAUGAGAAGGACAUCCUGCGCUGUGCUCACCUCCAGAAGGAGUUGCUCCUGAGUGCUAUUGACUCUGUCAAUGCGACCUCCAAGACAGGAGGCUACCUGGUUUACUGCACCUGUUCUAUCACGGUAGAAGAGAAUGAGUGGGUGGUAGACUAUGCUCUGAAAAAGAGGAAUGUGCGACUGGUGCCCACAGGCCUAGACUUUGGCCAGGAAGGUUUUACCCGCUUUCGAGAAAGGCGCUUCCACCCC
This 968-nucleotide small RNA is filed under the name Pongo abelii (Sumatran orangutan). RNAcentral's name for it is "retained intron". The record is from RNAcentral. Lineage: Eukaryota; Metazoa; Chordata; Mammalia; Primates; Hominidae.